GAGGAUGCCUCGGGCGCGAUGCCGGUCUAAGUUCCUUGGAACAGGACGUCAUAGAGGGUGAGAAUCCCGUACGUGACCGGCGGUCAACCCCAUAUGAGGCCCCUUCGACGAGUCGAGUUGUUUGGGAAUGCAGCUCUAAAUGGGUGGUAAAUUUCAUCUAAAGCUAAAUACCGGCCAGAGACCGAUAGCGCACAAGUAGAGUGAUCGAAAGAUGAAAAGCACUUUGGAAAGAGAGUUAAACAGUACGUGAAAUUGUUGAAAGGGAAGCGCUUGCGACCAGACUUGCCCGCGGGUGAUCAACCGUCCUUCGGGGCGGUGCACUGACCCGUGGUGCAGGCCAGCAUCGGUUUCGGCGGCCAGAUAAACGGGGCGGGAACGUAGCUCCCCCCGGGGAGUGUUAUAGCCCGCCCCACCAUGUGGCCCGCCGGGACCGAGGACCGCGCUCCGGCUAGGAUGCUGGCGUAAUGGUCGUCAGCGACCCGUCUUGAAACACGGACCAAGGAGUUGUCAAACGACGCGAGUCUUUGGGUGUCAAACCCACGGGCGCAAUGAAAGUGAAUGGAGGUGGGAACCCCCCCUGGGGGCGCACCAUCGACCGAUCCUGAUGUCUUCGGAUGGAUUUGAGUACGAGCGUCGGUUGACUGACCCGAAAGAUGGUGAACUAUGCGUGAAUAGGGUGAAGCCAGAGGAAACUCUGGUGGAGGCUCGCAGCGGUUCUGACGUGCAAAUCGAUCGUCAAAUUUGCGUAUAGGGGCGAAAGACUAAUCGAACCAUCUAGUAGCUGG
RNAcentral lists this ribosomal RNA (785 nucleotides) under Placopsis contortuplicata. RNAcentral describes it as "eukaryotic LSU rRNA". It matches the Rfam family "Eukaryotic large subunit ribosomal RNA", at positions 155 to 954 of the family's 3401-position model. The record is from RNAcentral. Lineage: Eukaryota; Fungi; Ascomycota; Lecanoromycetes; Trapeliales; Trapeliaceae.